Molecule: ribosomal RNA, 253 nt
Filed under: uncultured bacterium
Lineage: Bacteria
Description: partial 16S ribosomal RNA
Rfam family: Bacterial small subunit ribosomal RNA
Source: RNAcentral
UACGUAGGGUGCGAACGUUAUUCGGAAUUACUGGGCGUAAAGCGUGCGCAGGCGGUGAUGUAAGACAGAUGUGAAAUCCCCGGGCUCAACCUGGGACCUGCAUUUGUGACUGCAUCGCUGGAGUACGGCAGAGGGGGAUGGAAUUCCGCGUGUAGCAGUGAAAUGCGUAGAUAUGCGGAGGAACACCGAUGGCGAAGGCAAUCCCCUGGGCCUGUACUGACGCUCAUGCACGAAAGCGUGGGGAGCAAACAGG